UUCAUCUUGUAAAAUAAUAAUAGUAGCAUCUAUCUCAUAGGUUGCUGUGACAAGUAAGUGAAAUAGCACAAAUGCAGUGCCUGAGAGUGGAUCAUCAUAAGGAGAUAGAAGAUAAAUUGGUUUUUCCCUCUACAUAUUUGACAAAGAACACUUCUUAAUUAAAAAAUUAACUGAAAAAAGAUGCCUCUCACGAGGCCUACUUUUAUCUAGUGCCUCAUGUGCCUUUCCAAGCUACCCAGUUCUAGCAUCCAUUGCCACAGGAAGCAGAUCAUGGAGGUCCAGACCUGGCCAUAAACACUUUCCUAAAGAAGAUAUACACAGAAGAUAUGCCAACAAGCAUAUGAAAAAAAUCUCGAUAUCACUGAUCAUUAGGAAGAUGCAAAUAAAAACCACAAAGAGAUACCAUCUCACACCAGUCAGCAUGACUAUUAUUAAAAAGACAAAAAAUAACAGAUGCUGGUGAGGUUGCAGAGAAAAGAGAACACUUACACAAUGUUGGUGGGAGCAUAAAUUAAUUUAACCAUUGUGGAAAACAACAUUUCAAUUCUUCAAAGAGCUAAAAAAGAACUACCAUUGGUCCCAGAAAUCCCAUUAUUGGACAUUUCCUCAGAAGAAUAUUAUUAAUCAUUCUACUAUAAAGACACAAGCAUGCAAAUUUUCACUGCAGCACUAUUUACAAUAGAAAAUACAUGGAAUCAACCUCAAUGCUCAUCAAUGACAGAUUGUAAAGAAAAUGUUGUACGUAUACACGAUGUAAUACUGUGUAGCCAUAAACAAGAAUGAGAUCAUGUAUUUUGGGGGAACAUGGAUGGAACUGGAGACAUUUAUCUUUAGCAAACUAACAAAUGAACAGAACACCAAAUAGUGCAUGUUUG
This 875-nucleotide long non-coding RNA is filed under the name Callithrix jacchus (white-tufted-ear marmoset). RNAcentral's name for it is "lncRNA (ENSCJAG00000059773.2)". The record is from RNAcentral. Lineage: Eukaryota; Metazoa; Chordata; Mammalia; Primates; Cebidae.